RNAcentral lists this ribosomal RNA (1202 nucleotides) under Elassogaster sp. HWB-2006. Its description in RNAcentral is "partial 16S ribosomal RNA". Lineage: Eukaryota; Metazoa; Arthropoda; Insecta; Diptera; Platystomatidae. The record is from RNAcentral.
UCAAUAUAAAUUGAUUAAUAUUUAUUUAUUUAUUUUGUUUUUGUUUAUUUUUAUAUAUUAAAAGAAUUUAUAUGUUUAUGUGUUUUAGUAUUAUUUAGAAAAAAUAAUUUUAAUAAUAGUUUAUUAGUACUGUAAGGGGUUAUUGAAAUAAUUUGAAAAAUUAUUACUUAUAAAGAAGGUUUUAUUUGCUGUACCUUGUGUAUCAGGGUGGAUUAAAUAUAUAAAUUUUAUUAAUUUAGUCUCGAUUUUAUAAGAGUUAAUGAUAUAUAAAAGUUAAUGUGUCAAAAUUAUUUUUCAUAUAUUGUUUGAAAUGAAAUGUUAUUCGUUUAUAAAGGUAUCUAGUUUUUCUAGAAAUAAAUUUAAUUUAUGGUUUAUUAAUUUUUUAUUUUAUUAUAUGAAUUAAAAAAUUUGUUGAGCCUAAUACCCUAUGGGAUAAGCUUUAGGGUAUAUAUUUAAAAGGAUUUAAUGUAUUUAUUAAAUGUAUGUAUAAAAUUUGCAAUCAUUUUUAAGUUUGUUAUAAAUUAUUUUGUUUAUUAUAUUAUUUAUUUUUCUUUGAUUAUUUAUAGAAACAUUAUUUUUAAUUUUUUAAAAUAAGAGAAAAUGAUUUAAUUAGUAUAUUGUUUAUGUUUGUGUAUUUUUUUAUGUUAAGUUUAUAUAAAGAACUCGGCAAAUUGUAUGCCCGCCUGUUUAACAAAAACAUGUCUUUUUGAGUUAUUUUUAAAGUCUGACCUGCCCAAUGAAUUUUUGAAUGGCCGCAGUAUUCUAACUGUGCAAAGGUAGCAUAAUCAUUAGUCUUUUAAUUGAAGGCUGGUAUGAAUGGUUGGACGAGGUAUAAGCUGUUUCAUAUAAAAUUAAUUUAGAAUUUUAUUAUUUAGUCAAAAAGCUAAAAUUUUAUUAAAAGACGAGAAGACCCUAUAAAUCUUUAUAUUAUAUUAUGUAUAACUUUUUUGGAUUUUGUUUGGUUUUAUAUUAUUUAAUAUUUUAUUGGGGUGAUAUUAAAAUUUAAAUAACUUUUAAUUUUUUAGUUCCAUUAAUUUAUGAUUUAUUGAUCCAUUAUUAGUGAUUAUAAGACUAAGUUACUUUAGGGAUAACAGCGUAAUUUUUUUGGAGAGUUCUUAUCGAUAAAAAAGAUUGCGACCUCGAUGUUGGAUUAAGAUAUAAUUUUAGGUGUAGCCGCUUAAAUUUUAAGUCUGUUCGACUUU